Molecule: long non-coding RNA, 767 nt
Filed under: Panax ginseng (ginseng)
Lineage: Eukaryota; Viridiplantae; Streptophyta; Magnoliopsida; Apiales; Araliaceae
Description: long non-coding RNA (PGIN_LNC003926)
Source: RNAcentral
GCUCGCUUUACUAUCGCUCCAUGAAUCCAUUAAACCAGAAAAUUGCAAGGGACAUUUAAUAAAACAUCAAAAACAGACUAAUAAAUUUAUACCGACUACAAACAAGACCAAGUUUGCAGGAUCUACACACUAAAACAGACUACCCAGAAAGAGAUUCUAAAUUUAUAUAGAGUACUGUAGAACAAGGCUUUAUGGAAACUAAAUUAUAUCUAUAUCUCUGUUGAGCUGAUCAGGCCACAGCCUUCUUAGUUUUCUUGGCAGCAGGGGACUUUAUAGACUUGGGUUGCUUGGCCUUUGCCUUAGUUGGUGUCGCUCUCUUCUUCGUCUUCUGCACAGGCUUUGCUUUUGGUUUUGUGGUUGCUUCCGCCACCGCCUUUGUCUUCUUCACCGCUGAUUUCCCCUUGGAAACACCUUUUGCUGCACCGGACUUAAUUUGUUCCGACUUCUUCGUCUUCUGCACAGGCUUUGCUUUUGGUUUUGCGGUUGCUGCCGCCACCGCCUUUGUCUUCUUCACCGAUUCAUUUCCCCUUGGAAACACCUUUUGAGACAUUUGCUAACUUUUUCGACUAAAAUAAUUUUGGAAACCAAAUUUUCAAUAUUUUACAAACCGUAAGUUGACGAUGUUGUGCUGGAGAAAUGAAUCCUUCCUCUUUGGGUGUCGAAUUCAAAUCAAGUAAUGGCUUCACUUGACGAUCUUGUGUCGGAGAAAUGAAUCCUUCAUCUUUUGGUGUUGAAUUCAAAUUAUUUAUCGUGGUUGCUUUAGUGAA